AAGCACGUAGGUGGGUUUGUAAGUCAGAUGUGAAAGCCUUCUGUUCAAAGGAAGAACGGCAUCUGAAACUGCAGAUCUUGAGCGUAGGAGGGGAGAGUGGAACUUCUGGUGGAGCGGUGAAAUGCGUAGAUAUCAGAAGGAACGUCGGCGGCGAAAGCGACUCUCUGGCCUAUUACUGACACUGAGUGUGCGAAAGUUGGGGGAGCAAACGGGAUUAGAUACCCCGGUAGUCCUAACUGUAAACGAUGGGCACUAAGUAGAGGGGUUUU
This 269-nucleotide ribosomal RNA is filed under the name uncultured Planctomycetales bacterium. RNAcentral's name for it is "partial 16S ribosomal RNA". It matches the Rfam family "Bacterial small subunit ribosomal RNA", at positions 567 to 832 of the family's 1533-position model. The record is from RNAcentral. Lineage: Bacteria; Pseudomonadati; Planctomycetota; Planctomycetia; Planctomycetales.